UGUCUCAGGAAGGAAGAGGUGG
Molecule: non-coding RNA, 22 nt
Filed under: Mus musculus (house mouse)
Lineage: Eukaryota; Metazoa; Chordata; Mammalia; Rodentia; Muridae
Source: RNAcentral